CCCUUGGUGUGUGUUGUUGGCAGAACUAGACAGGUGUGCUUGUGUGUGUGCAUGUGGUCAGUCCUGUAUGCAAUUGGCUUUUGAGGAGCAAGGCAGGAUGCACCAAACACUACAAAGGAGACACUGGAUAGAAGUGAGGCAGUGGUUGGCUUGGAGUAUGUCUGGUCAUUAGAGGCAGGAAGAACUGUAUAAUUGAAGGCUUAUAGAUGCAUACCCUACAUGGAGAGCUAGAUUUAGAGACCUUUUACUCUUUGAGGUCGUGGUGAGUGAGGUACGUUAAGGUUUGGACAUAUGCAAAGUAUUAGUGUUUGGUUUGGGGUAUGUGGAUAUUAGGCAGUUAAGGUAUUGCAGCAUCUGAAGUGAGGAGACCCAGGGUUGCUUGACAUUUUGGUGCAGAAACACAUGGUAUGCUUCAGGAAAACUCUUUGUGUUUUUUAGUACCACAGCAGCAGCAACAGCAGCACCAUUACUCAUGAAUGCAACUUAUUGUUAUGCCAUACAUGUUUUGCCUUUGAUGUACGUGCGUGUGUGUGAGUCUGUGUGUGCAAGUGUGUGUGUGUGUUGUCCAUAUACAUUGACCGAAGUAGUUUUGAUAAUCAGAUGUAUAAUUAUUCGGGCUUUUGGCAGACCUAAACUAUUAGAACUCUACCAAACACAAUACGUUCCUAGGGCGUCUUUGUUCUCCCAGCCAAUUCACCUUUACCUUGAGUUGCUUUGUGUUACGACCUUCCCCUUUCCCGCAACUUCCUUUCUGAUUCACGUUUUUGUGUUCCGAUAAUAGUUUGAGUUUUCCUUUAGAUGUAUCAAUGUAUAUUUCACGUAGCAUAGAUUCUGACGUAAUGUGGGUACCUGUAGUAAUGCAUAUGAUUUCCCUCAUUUCCGUAUCUUUGCAGUGUCAUAUUGCAACAUUCACUCCAUAUUUAUUCCUAUGUGAGUGUUGAGUCAGGCACCAGUUGAUACACAUUCACGUAGCUAGGCAGUUAAGAGAGAGAGAGAGAGAGAGAGAGAGAGAGAGAGAGAGAGAUUGUGUGUGUGUGUAUGUGUGUGAGUGUGACUUUCAUACCUUAAGUAAUAACACUAACUCUCCUGCAUACAAAUUAGUGUUACUUCCAUUUUACAAAUUAGUACCGUAUUUCUCAUCCUUGAUCACCGCCAGCACCGCCAUGAAACAGAUCUGUAUGUGUGUAUGCGUAGCCAGUUACUCUUCAUAUGCAGAUGUUUGUGUUUCCCUCAGUUCUGCACAUCAUAAUCCAUAGUGUCACAUGUUUUUAAGUUUUAUUGUACAAUUUCAUCACCAGUUUUAUAAUUUAACAAGUUCGAGGCUUCUAUUUCUGGUAUUUUUUUUUAGUUUACCGAUUUGUUUAGUGUGUAUGUUUGUAUGUUUCAAUAUGAUGUGUUUGUUGUGAUCAGUUAUGUGCAGAACACCUGUCGUCACUUGUGUUGCGUUCGUGCAGCAGCGGCAGCAGGGGCAAUACAAGUAAUGGUCAUGUGUCUUCGCUGAACAUGUCAUCUUCUUCAUUGCUCUGCGUGUGGUGUGGGCCCAGUAGCUCCCCGCCCUCACACCUGUACCAUCACCAUCAGGUACCUGUAGUCUGUGGUGCUGCCUGUCUUGUCAUUAUUUUGUUAUUAUCAUUGUCAUUGUUUUAUUAGUUUGUUGCCAAAAGUGUGAUGAGAGAUUGCUCAUGCAGUUUUGUCUUUUGUUGUUUCUCCAUUAUUAUUAUUAUUAUUAUCAUUAUUAUUAUCAUUAUUUUUAUCAUAAGAAAAUGAGGGAAGCUACAAGAAGCCAUUGUUAGGCCUACAAGUGGCAUUCCCUGUAUGAAACCUGUCAUCCACAUCCAUAAAUUUGUGCAUUAUUAUUAUUAUUAUUAUUAUUAUUAUUAUUAUUAUUAUUAUUAUUAUUAUUAUUAUUAUUAUUAUUAUUAUUAAGCAGUACAUUUCUACUUUAAUGCAAUGCACGCCAGGAUAAUAUAUUAUUAUACUCAUUUACUCAAUCAAGUGUGUGUGUGUGUGUGUGUGUGUGUGUGUGUGUGUGUGUGUGUGUGUGUGUGUGUGUGUGUGUGUGUGUGUGUGUGUGUGUGUGUGUGUGUGUGUGUGUGUGAGGCAGGAGGGUAUGCAAGAGCCGCCGCUGAGGAGAGAGGUCGAGUGUGUGUAACCGGAGUGUUUUUUAAUGCAUUUUGUACUCUGUAUGUAUAUGUUUAGGUGAUAUUAUCAUAAUCCUAACUAUUAUUAUAUUAUGGUUAAUUCCUAUUGCAUGACAUUAUUUCAAGAGUACUCCUCUACCUUACCUUACCUUUUUGUAAGCAGCUUUAAAACUCAUUUUACGGCAGAGCGCCAUCGUAUGCUUUGCUAUUAUAUGGUAUGUCUUUUUUGUAUCUUUUGUACUAUUAUUUGGCAAGGUUCAGUAUAUAAAGUAGAACAUUCGGUUUGGUCCGAUGUUAAGUUACGUACCGCCGUCUGGAGGCUGUGGGCUCAUGUCACGCACCACGACCCUCAGCUGUCCUCCUCCCGCUCCGGAGCCGUAAAGUAAUGGAAUCAGUCAGUCCACAGUGCAUCUGUCCAUAUGAAAGUUACGUCUAUUUAAGCACCGUAGAUUAACGCCAAUUUAGACUACUUGAUCCGCUCAGCCGUUAGUUAUGGAGGGGACGCCCGGAGUGUUGCAUCUCCGGGCACGGAAGACGCUGAGGGCGCCGUGGCCCACGCACACCAGAUAUCGCUGUGGCUAGUCCGGUAUUAGUCUUAUGCAGGUUAGGUCUUCCCGAGAAAAGAAAGAAAACAUUAGCACAUUAAGAUUAAGUAUGUGUAUGCUAGUUAUCAUUAUUAUUAUUAUUAUUAUUAUCACAAUUAUCAUAUUGUUUGUCAUUGUGAGUUCGGAACAACGUCUUGACAAGCGGUUGGUGUUUGUUGGACACGAGCGCUAUUCAAGAAAUGCAGUGGGAAGAAAAAAGUGGAAUACGAGUUGAGUGCAGCCCAGUUUCCUUCAAUUCAUUUAGCAUCACCAGUGUACAAGUAUGAUAAAAGAAGACAUGUAUUUGUAAAGAACAUGUGAGUUUUGAGUUUUCAUAUUUACGAAUGUAAGUGUAUAAAGAACGAAAUUGUGAUUGCAAAAGUUCUAUACAUAGUGCAAGUUCCCGCCUGUGGUUAGCUACUAUUAUAUCCUCCCAAGUAGCUCACGUAGAAGUGUGUUCCAGACUUUUGCUCGUUCAUCCCGUUUUUAGUCCAGGUCACUGAAGCUCUUGUCUCGUGGAUUCACCCUCCCCCCCUCCAACCCUCAAACCUUUGUACUCAAUUAGUUUUAAUGUUUUCCGUCACUCAUUCACUCACUCACUCACUCAUUUGCUUCCUGUUGGUGGAGUGAGUUAAGGAUGUUUUUAUACCUUUUUAAGUCAUGAAUUUAGUGAUUGGUCAGCAUUUGUGAGAGCUUUACUGUACAAAAAUACUGAAUGUCAUGCAAAGUAGUAUGACAACAUUGUAUAGCCUCCUUACUCCCCGUCCCUCUCCCUCCCUUCAUUCCCUUCACACAUCCCGUAAGCUGUUCUGAAGGCCGCCGUCGCUGCCACAACUAUAGGGUGCUUGUUCCUUCCUUCAUUCCUUCCUUUCUUCGUUCCUUCGUUCCUUCCCGUGGUGAGGUUCGAGGGGUGAACACAACACACGCGAGACAGGCGAAGACUCACUCGCUGGGUUCACUCGCCGCUUCAAGACCUCGUGUUCUGACAAAUACCCAAACUGUCCCUGAAUUCUCGACCUCUUGUUAAAUUGUUGCUAGUCUCGUCUGGCCGUCGCUCCUUUCUGACAUCUGCUCCUCGUGUGAUUUUCCUGCCAAGUGUGACUGAAAUUGGUGUCUCAGGUUGGACUAGUGCUAAAGUCUUGGAGAUUUGACACACGAAGGGCUUGAUUAGGUGAACUCUACGCCACCCUAACCCGACCUAACCUUACUCAUUCCCCAAGUACGUGGGAUGGGUUGACCUUCUUGUGGUGUUGGUAUUUACGGCCUUGUUCAGAAACGCCUUGCUCUUUCACCACGUUAAUUUUUGAAGUCCCCAUAGACGACUACUCG
Long non-coding RNA from Portunus trituberculatus (swimming crab), 4054 nucleotides. RefSeq lists it as uncharacterized. The record is from RefSeq and is a predicted model, not a curated record. The transcript is spliced from 2 exons. Lineage: Eukaryota; Metazoa; Arthropoda; Malacostraca; Decapoda; Portunidae.